GCAGUCGUGGCCGAGUGUUUAAGGCGAUGUACUAGAAAUCCAUUUGGGUCUCCCCGCACAGGGUCGAUACCGGUCGACUGCG
This is a non-coding RNA of Ixodes scapularis (black-legged tick), 82 nucleotides long. Lineage: Eukaryota; Metazoa; Arthropoda; Arachnida; Ixodida; Ixodidae. The record is from Rfam.